CUGAGCCCCAGCUUGCUGGGGUGGAUGAGUGGCGAACGGGUGAGUAACACGUGAGUAACCUUCCCUUGACUCUGGGAUAAGCCUGGGAAACCGGGUCUAAUACCGGAUGCGACCGUCCACCGCAUGGUGGGGGGUGGAAAGAUUUAUCGGUCUUGGAUGGACUCGCGGCCUAUCAGCUUGUUGGUGGGGUAAUGGCCCACCAAGGCGACGACGGGUAGCCGGCCUGAGAGGGUGACCGGCCACACUGGGACUGAGACACGGCCCAGACUCCUACGGGAGGCAGCAGUGGGGAAUAUUGCACAAUGGGCGCAAGCCUGAUGCAGCGACGCCGCGUGAGGGAUGACGGCCUUCGGGUUGUAAACCUCUUUCAGUAGGGAAGAAGCGAAAGUGACGGUACCUGCAGAAGAAGCGCCGGCUAACUACGUGCCAGCAGCCGCGGUAAUACGUAGGGCGCGAGCGUUAUCCGGAAUUAUUGGGCGUAAAGAGCUCGUAGGCGGUUUGUCGCGUCUGCCGUGAAAGUCCGGGGCUUAACCCCGGAUCUGCGGUGGGUACGGGCAGACUGGAGUGCAGUAGGGGAGACUGGAAUUCCUGGUGUAGCGGUGAAAUGCGCAGAUAUCAGGAGGAACACCGAUGGCGAAGGCAGGUCUCUGGGCUGUUACUGACGCUGAGGAGCGAAAGCAUGGGGAGCGAACAGGAUUAG
RNAcentral lists this ribosomal RNA (700 nucleotides) under Citricoccus sp. KLBMP 1304. RNAcentral describes it as "bacterial SSU rRNA". It matches the Rfam family "Bacterial small subunit ribosomal RNA", at positions 67 to 781 of the family's 1533-position model. The record is from RNAcentral. Lineage: Bacteria; Bacillati; Actinomycetota; Actinomycetes; Micrococcales; Micrococcaceae.